RNAcentral lists this ribosomal RNA (453 nucleotides) under uncultured bacterium. Its description in RNAcentral is "partial 16S ribosomal RNA". It matches the Rfam family "Bacterial small subunit ribosomal RNA", at positions 29 to 508 of the family's 1533-position model. The record is from RNAcentral.
AACGAACGCUGGCGGCAAGCCUAACACAUGCAAGUCGAACGAGAUGCCUUCGGGUAUCUAGUGGCGCACGGGUGCGUAACGCGUGGGAAUCUGCCCUGGGGUCUGGGAUAACCGUUGGAAACGACGGCUAAUACCGGAUGAUGAUGAAAAUCCAAAGAUUUAUCGCCCUGGGAUGAGCCGGCGUCGGAUUAGCUAGUUGGUGGGGUAAAGGCCUACCAAGGCGACGAUCCGUAGCUGGUCUGAGAGGAUGAUCAGCCACACUGGGACUGAGAAACGGGCUAUACAGCUACGGCGUGCAGCAACCGGGAAUAUUGCGCAAGGGGCGAAAGGCUGACGCAGCGACUCCGCGUGGAGGAUGACGGCCUUAGGGUUGUAAACUCCUUUUGACUGGGAAGCUCUGAUAGCAAUAUCAGGGGACGGUACCAGUAGAAUAAGCAUCUGCUAACCACGUGC